CCUACGGGAGGCAGCAGUGGGGAAUAUUGCACAAUGGGGGAAACCCUGAUGCAGCGACGCCGCGUGAGUGAAGAAGUCUUUCGGUAUUUAAAGCUCUAUCAGCAGGGAAGAAAAUGACGGUACCUGAUUAAGAAGCCCCGGCUAACUACGUGCCAGCAGCCGCGGUAAUACGUAGGGGGCAAGCGUUAUCCGGAUUUACUGGGUGUAAAGGGAGCGUAGACGGCAGCAUAAGUCUGGAGUGAAAUGCCGGGGCUUAACCCCGGAACUGCUUUGGAAACUGUGCAGCUAGAGUGCAGGAGAGGUAAGUGGAAUUCCUAGUGUAGCGGUGAAAUGCGUAGAUAUUAGGAGGAACACCAGUGGCGAAGGCGGCUGACUGGACUGUAACUGACGUUGAGGCUCGAAAGCGUGGGGAGCAAACAGGAUUAGAUACCCCUGUAGUC
RNAcentral lists this ribosomal RNA (440 nucleotides) under uncultured bacterium. Its description in RNAcentral is "partial 16S ribosomal RNA". It matches the Rfam family "Bacterial small subunit ribosomal RNA", at positions 338 to 795 of the family's 1533-position model. The record is from RNAcentral.